This 445-nucleotide ribosomal RNA is filed under the name uncultured bacterium. RNAcentral's name for it is "partial 16S ribosomal RNA". It matches the Rfam family "Bacterial small subunit ribosomal RNA", at positions 354 to 796 of the family's 1533-position model. The record is from RNAcentral.
GUAGGGAAUAUUGGGCAAUGGAUGCAAGUCUGACCCAGCCAUCCCGCGUGCCGGAAGAAGGCCCUCAGGGUUGUAAACGGCUUUUGACGGUGAAGAACCGACAGGAUGCGUCCUGUUUUGACGGUAGCCGUUGAAUAAGCACCGGCUAACUCCGUGCCAGCAACCGCGGUAAUACGGAGGGUGCGAGCGUUGUCCGGAUUUAUUGGGUUUAAAGGGUGCGUAGGCUGGAAGGUCAGUCAGCGGUGAAAAGCUAUCGCUUAACGAUAGUCUUGCCGCAGAUACUUCCUUUCUUGGAUGAGGAGGAGGCCACUGGAACGGAUGGUGUAGCGGUGAAAUGCAUAGAUAUCAUCCAGAACACCGAUUGCGAAGGCAGGUGGCUGUACCUUAAUCGACGCUGAUGCACGAAAGCAUGGGGAGCAAACAGGAUUAGAAACCCUUGUAGUCC